CCUACGGUGUGCAGCAGUGGGGAAUAUUGGACAAUGGGCGAAAGCCUGAUCCAGCCAUGCCGCGUGUGUGAAGAAGGCCUUCGGGUUGUAAAGCACUUUCAGUGGGGAAGAAAGCCUUGGGGCUAAUACCCUCGAGGAAGGACAUCACCCACAGAAGAAGCACCGGCUAACUCCGUGCCAGCAGCCGCGGUAAUACGGAGGGUGCGAGCGUUAAUCGGAAUUACUGGGCGUAAAGCGCGCGUAGGCGGUCUGAUAAGCCGGUUGUGAAAGCCCCGGGCUCAACCUGGGAACGGCAUCCGGAACUGUCAGGCUAGAGUGCAGGAGAGGAAGGUAGAAUUCCCGGUGUAGCGGUGAAAUGCGUAGAGAUCGGGAGGAAUACCAGUGGCGAAGGCGGCCUUCUGGACUGACACUGACGCUGAGGUGCGAAAGCGUGGGUAGCAAACAGGAUUAGCUACCCGAGUAGUC
RNAcentral lists this ribosomal RNA (465 nucleotides) under Vreelandella stevensii. Its description in RNAcentral is "partial 16S ribosomal RNA". It matches the Rfam family "Bacterial small subunit ribosomal RNA", at positions 338 to 795 of the family's 1533-position model. The record is from RNAcentral. Lineage: Bacteria; Pseudomonadati; Pseudomonadota; Gammaproteobacteria; Oceanospirillales; Halomonadaceae.